ACAGGUUCUCCUUUGGGUUUGAUGUUGGGGAAGGAUGAGUAAUGUCUGUACAAACUGCCUGAUGCAUGUUCAUAACUACUGGAAACGGUAGCUAAUACCGCAUAUCGUCGCAUGACCCAAGUGGGGGACCUUCGGCCUCAUGCCAUCAGAUGUGCCCAGAUGGGAUUAGCUAGUAGGUGAGGUAAUGUCUCACCUAGGCGACGAUCCCUAGCUGGUCUGAGAGGUUGACCAGCCACACUGGAACUGAGACACGCUCCAGACUCUUACGGGAGGCAGCAGUGGGGAAUAUUGCACAAU
RNAcentral lists this ribosomal RNA (297 nucleotides) under Enterobacteriaceae bacterium 42(2010). Its description in RNAcentral is "partial 16S ribosomal RNA". It matches the Rfam family "Bacterial small subunit ribosomal RNA", at positions 74 to 372 of the family's 1533-position model. The record is from RNAcentral. Lineage: Bacteria; Pseudomonadati; Pseudomonadota; Gammaproteobacteria; Enterobacterales; Enterobacteriaceae.